Molecule: ribosomal RNA, 576 nt
Filed under: uncultured bacterium
Lineage: Bacteria
Description: bacterial SSU rRNA
Rfam family: Bacterial small subunit ribosomal RNA
Source: RNAcentral
AAAGGGAUUGCUUGCAAUCCUGAGUAGAGUGGCGCACGGGUGAGUAACACGUAGAUAACCUGCCUUCAAGCCUGGGAUAACUAUUCGAAAGGAUAGCUAAUACCGGAUAAAGUCGAUUCACAUAAGUAGAUUGAUGAAAGAUUGCCUCUUCUUGAAAGCAAUUGUUUGGGAAUGAGUUUGCGUACCAUUAGCUAGUUGGUGGGGUAAAGGCCUACCAAGGCUACGAUGGUUAGCUGGUCUGAGAGGAUGAUCAGCCACACUGGUAACUGGAACACGGUCCAGACUCCUACGGGAGGCAGCAGUGAGGAAUUUUGCGCAAUGGGGGCAACCCUGACGCANCAACGCCGCGUGAGUGAAGAAGGCCUUUGGGUCGUAAAGCUCUGUCAACAGGGAAGAAAUUAUAAUUGUUUAAUAGAUGAUUGUAUUGACGGUACCUGUGGAGGAAGCGCCGGCUAACUCCGUGCCAGCAGCCGCGGUAACACGGGGGGGCGCAAGCGUUAUUCCGGAAUUAUUGGGCGUAAAGGGCGCGCAGGCGGUCUUGUCCGUCAGGUGUGNAAGCCCGGGGCUCACCCCCGG